GCCUGGGUGGUGGAAUGGUAUACACGCACGCCUUAAGAGCGUGUGGCGCAAGUCAUGCGGGUUCGAGUCCCGCCCCAGGCA
This is a transfer RNA of 81 nucleotides. It matches the Rfam family "tRNA". From Rfam's summary of the family: Transfer RNA (tRNA) molecules are approximately 80 nucleotides in length. Their secondary structure includes four short double-helical elements and three loops (D, anti-codon, and T loops).